This 2904-nucleotide ribosomal RNA is filed under the name Escherichia coli. RNAcentral's name for it is "23S ribosomal RNA". It matches the Rfam family "Bacterial large subunit ribosomal RNA". The record is from RNAcentral. Lineage: Bacteria; Pseudomonadati; Pseudomonadota; Gammaproteobacteria; Enterobacterales; Enterobacteriaceae.
GGUUAAGCGACUAAGCGUACACGGUGGAUGCCCUGGCAGUCAGAGGCGAUGAAGGACGUGCUAAUCUGCGAUAAGCGUCGGUAAGGUGAUAUGAACCGUUAUAACCGGCGAUUUCCGAAUGGGGAAACCCAGUGUGAUUCGUCACACUAUCAUUAACUGAAUCCAUAGGUUAAUGAGGCGAACCGGGGGAACUGAAACAUCUAAGUACCCCGAGGAAAAGAAAUCAACCGAGAUUCCCCCAGUAGCGGCGAGCGAACGGGGAGCAGCCCAGAGCCUGAAUCAGUGUGUGUGUUAGUGGAAGCGUCUGGAAAGGCGCGCGAUACAGGGUGACAGCCCCGUACACAAAAAUGCACAUGCUGUGAGCUCGAUGAGUAGGGCGGGACACGUGGUAUCCUGUCUGAAUAUGGGGGGACCAUCCUCCAAGGCUAAAUACUCCUGACUGACCGAUAGUGAACCAGUACCGUGAGGGAAAGGCGAAAAGAACCCCGGCGAGGGGAGUGAAAAAGAACCUGAAACCGUGUACGUACAAGCAGUGGGAGCACGCUUAGGCGUGUGACUGCGUACCUUUUGUAUAAUGGGUCAGCGACUUAUAUUCUGUAGCAAGGUUAACCGAAUAGGGGAGCCGAAGGGAAACCGAGUCUUAACUGGGCGUUAAGUUGCAGGGUAUAGACCCGAAACCCGGUGAUCUAGCCAUGGGCAGGUUGAAGGUUGGGUAACACUAACUGGAGGACCGAACCGACUAAUGUUGAAAAAUUAGCGGAUGACUUGUGGCUGGGGGUGAAAGGCCAAUCAAACCGGGAGAUAGCUGGUUCUCCCCGAAAGCUAUUUAGGUAGCGCCUCGUGAAUUCAUCUCCGGGGGUAGAGCACUGUUUCGGCAAGGGGGUCAUCCCGACUUACCAACCCGAUGCAAACUGCGAAUACCGGAGAAUGUUAUCACGGGAGACACACGGCGGGUGCUAACGUCCGUCGUGAAGAGGGAAACAACCCAGACCGCCAGCUAAGGUCCCAAAGUCAUGGUUAAGUGGGAAACGAUGUGGGAAGGCCCAGACAGCCAGGAUGUUGGCUUAGAAGCAGCCAUCAUUUAAAGAAAGCGUAAUAGCUCACUGGUCGAGUCGGCCUGCGCGGAAGAUGUAACGGGGCUAAACCAUGCACCGAAGCUGCGGCAGCGACGCUGAUGCGUUGUUGGGUAGGGGAGCGUUCUGUAAGCCUGCGAAGGUGUGCUGUGAGGCAUGCUGGAGGUAUCAGAAGUGCGAAUGCUGACAUAAGUAACGAUAAAGCGGGUGAAAAGCCCGCUCGCCGGAAGACCAAGGGUUCCUGUCCAACGUUAAUCGGGGCAGGGUGAGUCGACCCCUAAGGCGAGGCCGAAAGGCGUAGUCGAUGGGAAACAGGUUAAUAUUCCUGUACUUGGUGUUACUGCGAAGGGGGGACGGAGAAGGCUAUGUUGGCCGGGCGACGGUUGUCCCGGUUUAAGCGUGUAGGCUGGUUUUCCAGGCAAAUCCGGAAAAUCAAGGCUGAGGCGUGAUGACGAGGCACUACGGUGCUGAAGCAACAAAUGCCCUGCUUCCAGGAAAAGCCUCUAAGCAUCAGGUAACAUCAAAUCGUACCCCAAACCGACACAGGUGGUCAGGUAGAGAAUACCAAGGCGCUUGAGAGAACUCGGGUGAAGGAACUAGGCAAAAUGGUGCCGUAACUUCGGGAGAAGGCACGCUGAUAUGUAGGUGAAGUCCCUCGCGGAUGGAGCUGAAAUCAGUCGAAGAUACCAGCUGGCUGCAACUGUUUAUUAAAAACACAGCACUGUGCAAACACGAAAGUGGACGUAUACGGUGUGACGCCUGCCCGGUGCCGGAAGGUUAAUUGAUGGGGUUAGCGCAAGCGAAGCUCUUGAUCGAAGCCCCGGUAAACGGCGGCCGUAACUAUAACGGUCCUAAGGUAGCGAAAUUCCUUGUCGGGUAAGUUCCGACCUGCACGAAUGGCGUAAUGAUGGCCAGGCUGUCUCCACCCGAGACUCAGUGAAAUUGAACUCGCUGUGAAGAUGCAGUGUACCCGCGGCAAGACGGAAAGACCCCGUGAACCUUUACUAUAGCUUGACACUGAACAUUGAGCAUUGAUGUGUAGGAUAGGUGGGAGGCUUUGAAGUGUGGACGCCAGUCUGCAUGGAGCCGACCUUGAAAUACCACCCUUUAAUGUUUGAUGUUCUAACGUUGACCCGUAAUCCGGGUUGCGGACAGUGUCUGGUGGGUAGUUUGACUGGGGCGGUCUCCUCCUAAAGAGUAACGGAGGAGCACGAAGGUUGGCUAAUCCUGGUCGGACAUCAGGAGGUUAGUGCAAUGGCAUAAGCCAGCUUGACUGCGAGCGUGACGGCGCGAGCAGGUGCGAAAGCAGGUCAUAGUGAUCCGGUGGUUCUGAAUGGAAGGGCCAUCGCUCAACGGAUAAAAGGUACUCCGGGGAUAACAGGCUGAUACCGCCCAAGAGUUCAUAUCGACGGCGGUGUUUGGCACCUCGAUGUCGGCUCAUCACAUCCUGGGGCUGAAGUAGGUCCCAAGGGUAUGGCUGUUCGCCAUUUAAAGUGGUACGCGAGCUGGGUUUAGAACGUCGUGAGACAGUUCGGUCCCUAUCUGCCGUGGGCGCUGGAGAACUGAGGGGGGCUGCUCCUAGUACGAGAGGACCGGAGUGGACGCAUCACUGGUGUUCGGGUUGUCAUGCCAAUGGCACUGCCCGGUAGCUAAAUGCGGAAGAGAUAAGUGCUGAAAGCAUCUAAGCACGAAACUUGCCCCGAGAUGAGUUCUCCCUGACUCCUUGAGAGUCCUGAAGGAACGUUGAAGACGACGACGUUGAUAGGCCGGGUGUGUAAGCGCAGCGAUGCGUUGAGCUAACCGGUACUAAUGAACCGUGAGGCUUAACCUU